CAGUAUAUAAAUAUAUGUCUUGGUAAAUCACAUUGUGAGCAUGUAUCUCGGUACGUCAUUCAGGCACAUUCAAAUUUGGCCUUGUGUGAAUCAUUUUCUUUGAACAUAAAGUAUUUUUGAGUUGUGGAAAACCUUGCAUCUAUUUGUAUUUUCUAGAGAACUGUAGAUCUUUCUUUGAAACCAAACAAUGUGUUGUGUGUUAGCACAUGUUUAUUUAAGGGAAAUACCUCAUUUCUUACAGAGUAUAUUUGCCUUAAGGUCUACGUUGACUCAAUUGAUGACAUGUAGUAGAUUUUUUCAUAAGAAAACAAGGAUCAAAAGUGUUUGUCAGAUGUAGGCUAUUACUCUCCUUUUCUGCAUACAAAGCUACUAAUGUCAUGACCUUCAACCUCUUUAUGUUGCUCCUCCUUUACAUUUUGCUGAUCUAUUAACUUGAUUUUAUAUACAGUAAGUUACUUAUCUCGUUUCUUUGGUUUUGUAGAUUGUCAAGAUAAAAUGGAUAAUGCAUGGCUUGGAUGCUGAUUGCAAGGAUGAGAAUGGUGCUACAACAGGAUAAUUAGAAUGUCAUUUUCAGGAUGAUGUUUGAAACAUUAUAGUUGAUUGCAAGGUCUAGAAUUUGGCUACUACUUGAUAGUUUCACAUCUUGUAAUCUCUGGAUCCUGUUCUUUGUAAUGCAACAUAGUUGAUUUAAUAUAUGAGACCUUCCAGUUUAUUAUAUUGUGUCUCCUAUACAAUAGAUAUAUUGACCUUG
RNAcentral lists this long non-coding RNA (751 nucleotides) under Triticum aestivum (bread wheat). RNAcentral's name for it is "long non-coding RNA (TAES_LNC027383)". Lineage: Eukaryota; Viridiplantae; Streptophyta; Magnoliopsida; Poales; Poaceae. The record is from RNAcentral.